GGACUACUAGGGUUUCUAAUCCCUUUCGCUCCCCUAGCUUUCGUCCCUCAGCGUCAGUUGUGGCCCAGUAGAGCGCCUUCGCCACUGGUGUUCUUCCCGAUAUCUACGCAUUUCACCGCUACACCGGGAAUUCCCUCUACCCCUACCACACUCAAGUCUUUCAGUUUCCAUUGCCGAUUCAGGGUUGAGCCCUGAGCUUUAACAACAGACUUAAUUAACCGCCUGCGGACGCUUUACGCCCAAUAAUUCCGGAUAACGCUUGCCUCCUCCGUCUUACCGCGGCGGCUGGCAC
Molecule: unclassified non-coding RNA, 292 nt
Filed under: uncultured fungus
Lineage: Eukaryota; Fungi
Description: sequence contains ITS1
Source: RNAcentral